RNAcentral lists this transfer RNA (69 nucleotides) under Notomastus sp. GK-2021. Its description in RNAcentral is "tRNA-Ser". The record is from RNAcentral. Lineage: Eukaryota; Metazoa; Annelida; Polychaeta; Capitellidae.
AAAGGCUCGUCAUGAGACAUUUGGUUUUGAAAACCAGACUUAGGAGGUUCAUCCCUUCAGCCUUUGCCA